Nycticebus coucang (slow loris) is the source of this 6431-nucleotide RNA transcript. It is a transcript of the gene named glyceraldehyde-3-phosphate dehydrogenase-like, with no coding region annotated. Lineage: Eukaryota; Metazoa; Chordata; Mammalia; Primates; Lorisidae. The transcript has a single exon. The record is from RefSeq and is a predicted model, not a curated record.
UUACAGACCUCAAUAGAACAUUUCACCCUAAUAAAACUGAAUAUAAAUUCUUCUCAUUAGUCCCGGGUCAUCCUCCAAAAUAGAACAUAUUCUAGGACACAAGUCUAACCUCAGCAAAUUUAAAAGUACAGAAAUUAUUCCUUGUAUCUUCUCAGACCACUGUGGAAUAAAAGUUGAACUCAACAGCAACAGGAAUGUUCAUACUCAAACAAAGACAUGGAAACUAAAUAAUCUUAGGCUGAAUGACAGCUGGGUCAAAGACGAGAUUAAGAAGGAAAUCAAAUUUUUGGAACAAAAUUAUAAUGAAGACACAAAUUAUCAAAACCUGCGGGAUACUGCAAAGGCAGUCCUAUGAGGGAAAUUUAUAGCAUUGGAAGCCUUCAUCAAGAAAACACGGAAGCCAACAACUUAAUGGAUCAUCUCAAGCAACUGGAAAGGGAAGAACAUUCCAACCCCAAACCCAGCAGAAGAAAAGAAAUAACCAAAAUUAGGGCAGAAUUAAUUGAAAUUGAAAACAGAAGAAUCAUUCAGAAGAUCAACGAAACAAAAAGUUGGUUUUUUGAAAAGAUUAACAAAAUUGAUAAACCUUUGGCCAACCUAACCAGAAAUAGAAAAGUAAAAUCUCUAAUAUCAUCUAUCAGAAACUAUAAAGGAGAAAUAACAACAGACACUUCAGAAAUUCAAAAAAUCCUCAAUGAUUACUACAAAAAUAUCUAUUCCCAGAAAUAUGAAAAUCUGAAGGAAAUGGACCAAUACCUGGAAGCACACCACCUUCCUAGACUCAACCAGAAAUAAUUAGAAAUCUUGAAUAGACCUAUAUCAAUCACUGAAAUAGCAUCAACAAUAUGAAAUCUCCCAAAAAGAAAAGUCCAGAACCAGAUGGCUUCACAUUUGAAUUCUAUCAAACCUUUCAAGAGGAACUAGUACCUAUAAUAUAUAAUGUUUUCCAAAGCAUAGAAAAAGAAGGAAAACUUCCCAAGAUGUUCUAUGAAGCAAAUAUCACCCUGAUACCCAAACCAGGAAAGGAUUCAACAAAGAAAGAAAAUUAUAGACCAAUAUCAUUAAUGAAUAUUGAUGCAAAAAUAAUAAGAUCUAGCAAACAGAAUUCAAUAACACAUCAAAAAAAUUAUACAACCAGGGGCAGUGCCUGUGGCUCACAGGAGUAGGGUGCUGGCCCCAUAUGCCAGAGGUGGCAGUUCAAACCCUGUCUCGGCCAAAAACUGCAAAAAAAUAAAAAUAAAAAAUAUACACCAUGAUCAAGUUGGUUUUAUGCCAGGGUUACAGGGUUGGUUCAACAUACACAAAUCUAUAAAUAUACUAUAUCACACUAAUAAAAUAAAAAACAAAGACCACAUGAUCCUCAAUUGACACAGAAAAAGCCUUUAAUAAUAUCCAGCAUCCUUUCAUGAUCAGAACACUUAAGAUAAUAGGCAUGGGGGGGCAGCACCUGUGACUCAGUCAGUAAGGUGCCAGCCCCAUAUACCCAGAGUGGUGGGUUCAAACCCAGCCCUGGCCGAACUGUAACAACAAAAAAAUAGCCGGGCGUUGUGGUGGGCGCCUGUAGGCCCAGCUACUCGGGAGGCUGAGGCAAGAGAAUCGCUUAAGCCCAGGAGUUGGAGGUUGCUGUGAGCUGUGUGAUGCCACAGCACUCUACCGAGGGCCAUAAGGUGAGACCCUGUCUCUACAAAAAAGAAAGAAAGAAAGAAAAUAGGCACAGAAGGGACAUUUCUUAACCUGAUAGAGGCCAUCUACAGCAAACUCACAUCCAGUAUCAUAUUGAAUGGUGUAAAAUUGAAAACAUUUCCACUCAGAUCAGGAAUGAGGCAAGGAUGCCCACUGUCUCCAUUGCUAUUCAACAUAGUAAUGGAAGUCUUAGCCAUCGCAAUCAGGCAAGAGAAGGCAAUCAAGGGUAUCCAAAUAGGGUCAGAGGAUAUCAAACUCUCACUCUUCAUUGAUGAUAUGAUCCUAUACCUGGAAAAUCCCAGGGAAUCAAUUUUAAAACUCUUAGAAGUGGUCAAGGAAUACAGCAGUGUCUCAAGAUACAAAAUCAAUACUUACAAGUCAGUAGCUUUUAUAUAUGCCAACAAUAGUAAAGCUGAAAAUAUAGUCAAGGACUCUAUUGCUUUAACAAAAGUGCCAAAGAUGAAAUAUCUGGGAAUUUACCUAACCGUAAAUUCGGUAAAAGGAUGUGAAAGAUCUUCACGAAGAGAACUGUGAAACUCUGAGAAAAGAAAUAGCUGAAGGGGUGGCACCUGUGGCUCAAGGAGUAGGGUGCUGGCCCCAUAUACCAGAGGUGGUGGGUUCAAAUCUAGCCCUGGCCAAAAACUGCAAACAACAACAAAUAGCUGAAGAUGUCAACAAAUGGAAAAAUAUACCAUGCUCAUGGCUGGGAAGAAUCAACAUUGUUAAAAUGUCCAUACUACCCAAAGCAUUCUACAGAUUAAAUGCAAUCCCUAUUAAAGCACCAUUGUCAUACUUAAAGAACUUGAAAAAAUAGUGCUUCAUUUUAUAUGGAAUCAGAAAAAAACCUCAAAUAACAAAUGCAUUACUCAGAAAUAAGAACAAACCAGGAGGUAUCACGUUACCAGACUUCAGGCUAUACUUUAAAUCUAUAGUGAUCAAAACAGCAUGGUACUGGCACAAAAACAGAGCUGUAGAUUUAUGGAACAGAAUAGAGAACAAAGAGAUGAAACCAACUACUUAUCAUUUGAUCUUAAACAAACCUAUCAUAAUUGUUCAGUGGGGGAAACACUCCCUAUUUAACAACUGGUGCUGGGUGAACUGGCUGGCGACCUGUAGAAGACUGAAACUGGACCCCCACCUUUCACCAUUAACAAAAAUUGAUUCUCACUGGAUAAAAAAAGUAAGCUUAAGACAUGAAACUAUAAAAAUACUAGAAAAGUGUGCAGGGAAAACACUUGAAGAGAUUGGCCAGGGAGAAUAUUUUAUGAGGAGGACUUCCCCCCCCCGCCCCAGGCAAUUGAAGCAACACCAAAAAUACAUUACUGGAAUCUGAUCAAACUAAAAAGCUUUUGCACAGCCAAGAGCACAGUAAGUGAAGCAAACAGACAACCUUCAGAAUAGAAGAAGAUUUUUGCAGGUUAUGCUUCUGACAAAGGUCUGAUAACUGGAAUCUACAGAGAACUCAAACUGAUCAAUAAGAAAAGACUAUAUAACCCCAUUUCUACAUGGGCAAGAGACUUGAACAGAAAAUUCUCUGAUGAAGACAGGUGCAUGGCCUACAAACACAUGAAAAAAUGCUCAUCAUCCUUAAUCAUCAGAGAAAUGCAAAUCAAAACCACUUUGAGAUAUCAUCUAACUUCAAUAAGAUUAGCCCACAUCACAAAAUCCCAAAACUACAGAUGUUGGAGUGGAUGUGGAGAGAAGGGAAUGCUUCUACACUGCUGAUAGGAAUACAAGCUAAUACGACCUUUUUGGAAAGAAGUUUGGAGAAAACUCAAGGAUCUAAAAGUAGACCUACCAUUUGAUCCUGCAAUUCCUUUACUAGGUAUAUACCCAGAUGGUCAAAAAGCGUUUUACAACAAAGACAUUUGCACCAGAAUGUUUAUUGCAGCCCAAUUCAUAAUAGCCAGGACAUGGAAACCAAGUGCCCAUUGACCCAUGAAUGGAUUAACAAAUUGUGGUAUAUGUACACCAUGGAAUGCUAUGUAGCCGUAAAAAAGAUGGAGACUUCACAUCUUUUAUGUUUACCUGGAUAGAGCUAGAACAUAUUCUUCUUAGUAAAGUGUCUCAAGAAUGGGGAAAAAAGUAUCUAAUGAACUCAAUAGUACUAUGAAAUCAAUAUAUAAUCACCUACACACUCAUAUGAAUGGCAAAACAUAACUAUAGUCCAGAAAGUAGAAGGGAAGAGGAGAAAGAGGGGAGGGAAAGGGGGAUAUGGGAGGGAAAAAGGGUAUUUGGGGGUCCUCACAUAAUGUGCAUGAUGCAAUGGUACAUUUCAAAACUAUUAAGAAAUUAGGCUCUCUGGUCAUCAGGCUCCCAUUCAUCAGACAGCCACUUCUAGUGCAGCGCCAGCCACAUCCCCAAGGCACCAUGGUGAAAGUGAAGGUCAGAAUAAAUGGCUUUGGUUGUAUUGGGCGCUUGGUCACCAGGGCUGCUUUUAACUCUGGCAAAGUGGAUAUUGUCGCCAUCAAUGACCACUUCAGUGACCUCAACUACAUAGUCUACAUGUUCCAGUGUGAUUCCACCCAUGGCAAAUUCUAUGGCACAGAAAAGGCUGAGAACAGGAAGCUUGCCAUCAAUAGAAAUCCCAUAACCAUCUUCUAGGAGCGAGAUUCCACCAAAAUCAACUGGAGUGAGGCAGGCGCUGAAUAUGUUGUGGAGUCCACUGGCAUCUUCACCACCAUGGAGAAGGCUGGGGCUCACCUAAAGGGGGGUGCCAAAAGGGUCAUCAUCUCUACCCCUUCUGCUGAUGCCCCCAUGUUUGUGAUGGGUGUGAACCAUGAGAAGUACAAAAACAGCUUCAGCAUUGUCAGCAAUGCCUCCUGCACCACCAACUGCUUAGCCCCCUUGGCUAAGGUCAUCCAUGACAACUUUGGCCUUGUGGAAGGACUCAUGACCAUAGUCCAUGCCAUCACUGCCACCCAGAAGACUGUGGAUGGCCCCUCUGGGAAGUUGUGCCGUGAUGGUCAUGGGGCUCUCCAGAACAUCACCCCAUAAAUGCAUCGAUGUACACAGGUAUGAUUUAAUUAAAAAUAAUUUUAAAAAACAAAAAUAUUCUCUCAUUCUGUGAAUGUUUUUUCACUAUCUCAAUAGUCCCCUUUCAAACAUAAAAGGUUUAAUUUUGGUGAACUCUAUCUAAUAUUUUUCUUUUGCAGCUCGUGCUUUUGUCCCUAAAUUUCUUUACUGAGGACAGUAACUCACAGAUGUCAACACUAACCCUGGGUUGUUAGCGAACACUUUUGUGUUUGAGCUAUUUCUUCUUCUUUUUUUUUUUUUUUUUUUGUUGAGACAGAGUUCGCAGCAACUUCAAACUCUUGGGCUGAAGCAAUCCUCUUGCCUCAGCCUCUCAAGUCGCUGGGACUACAGGCGCCUGCCACAAAACCCGGCUAUUUUUAGAGAUGAGGUCUCAUGCUGGCUCAGGCUGGUCUUGAACCUGUGAGCUAAGUCAAUCCACCCACCUCAGCCUCCCAGAGUGCUAGGAUUACAGGCAUGAGCCACCGUGUCCGGCCCCUUUUUUUUGCUUUUUAAAGACAGAGUCUCACUCAAUCACUCUGGGGUUGAGUGCGGUGGUGUCAUAGUUCACAGCAACCUCAAACUCUUGGGCUCAAGCAAUCAUCUUGCCUUAGCCUCCCAAGUAGCUGGGACUACAAAGUACCCCACACAACUGGCUAGUUUCCAGCCAGUUUUUCUAUUUUUAGUAGAGACCGGGUCUCACUCUUGCUCAGACUGGUCUGGAACUCCUGAGCUCAAGCUGUUCUCCCCCCUCAGCCUCCCAGAGUGCUGUGAUUACAGGUGUGAGCUGCUCUUAAUGGUAAGCCAUUUUGUUUGAGGCCUAUCUUUAACGGACACUAAUACCAAAGUUCUUUUUUAGUAAAGGUUUAUGGGUGAUCUGUUUCUGUUUACAUGAAAAUGUCUCCUCUUUAAAAAAAAUUAUGGGUGGCUCCAGUAGCUCAGUGGGUAAGGACACCGGCCACAUACACUGGGGCUGGCAGGUUCAAACCCAGCCCAGGCCUGCUAAAACAACAAUGACAACUGCAACCAAAAAAAAAAAAAAAAAAUAGCUGGGCAUUGUGGCGGGCGCCUGUAGUCCCAGCUACUUGGGAGGCUGAGGCAAGAAAUCAUUUAAGCCCAGGAGUCUGAGGUUGCUGUGAGCUGUGACAUCACAGCACUUUACCAAGGUUGACAAAGUGAGACUCUGUCUCAAAAAAGAAAAUGUUUCUUCUUUACUUCAGUCUAGAAAUAAAGUUUUGGUGUUUUGGUAAGUGGUUCUGGUUUGAACUGAAUUAUUUUCUUGAAAAUAACAGUUUUGCUUUUCACUUACAGGUGAUGUUUCAUCCCCUCUCCACCCUAGUGUUUGGUCAAGAAUACCAAUGGAGACCUGAUACUACGUUUCUAAAUGUUCCAAUGUCAUAAAUGAAAAUAAUUUAAAUGAAUCAAAAUUUCAUUACGUUUCAACGUUUAAGUCCUAAAAUGCUUUUAUGAAAAUGAAAAGGUCGCUAACACGGCUCUCAGUAGCUGCGCAGCUGCCACACACGGUCCGCCGAGGCCAACCUUAGGGUGGCGGGACCACAACUUCGUGGGAGCCCCGCAGUUCCUCCCAAGAAAGAGCGUGGUCCGUGGUCACGCGAGAGAGGAUCGUGGGGUGCUGGGGCUGGGGCGCGGGGACCUGGAGUAGCGCGAAGGGGAGGGGUCGGAGAAGGGGGCGUGGGAGAGGGGGGCGGGCCCGCUCCUUCCCGCGAUCCUCCAGG